Molecule: long non-coding RNA, 1717 nt
Organism: Bos indicus x Bos taurus (hybrid cattle)
Lineage: Eukaryota; Metazoa; Chordata; Mammalia; Artiodactyla; Bovidae
Source: Ensembl
ACCACACAUCCCACGUACACACACACCACCCACAAAUAUACAUACUACACACACACAACACACACAAAUACACACCACACAGCACACACACACACACACAUCACAUACACACACCACACACACACACACACACAUCACAUACACAUACCACAUAUACCCCCCACACAAAACACAUACCACCCAAACACAUACAUACUACAUACACACCACACACCCCACGCACACACACACACCACCCACAAAUAUACAUACCACACACAUACAACAUACAUAUACAUACCACACAGCACACACACAUAUCACAUACACAUAGCACAUAUACCACACACACAUAUAUCACAUACACAUACCACAUAUACUCCACACACACAACACAUAUCACCCAAACAUAUACAUACUAUACACACACCACACAUCCCACGCACACACACACACAAUAUACAUAUACACACCAUACACACACACACAUAGCACAUACACACCACACACACCACACACACACACACCACACACACCACCCACACACCACACAUACCACCCACACAUAUACAUCACAUACACACACCACAAAUACCACACACACAUACAUCACCCACAAAUAUACAUACCACACACACACAACACACAAAUACACACCACACACACAUCACAUACGCAUACCACAUAUACCCCCACACACAACACAUACCACCCAAACACAUACAUACUACAUACACACCACACACCCCACGCACACACACACACCACACACAAAUAUACAUACCACACACACACAACACAUAAAUACAUACCACACAGCACACACACACACAUAUCACAUACACACACCACACAUACACAUAUAUAUCACAUACACAUACCACAUAUACCCCACACAUACAACACAUAUCACCCAAACAUAUACAUACUACACACACACACCCCACGCAUACACACACACAAUACACACAUACACACCACACACACACACAUAUAUCACAUACAUACCACACACACCACACACCCACACACCACCCACACACCACAUACCACCCACACAUACACAUCACAUACACACACCACAAAUACCACACACACACACACCACACACACACACACAUCACCCACAAAUAUACAUACUACACACACACAGCACACAAAUACAUACCACACAGCACACACAUAUAUAUCACAUACACAUACCACAUAUACCACACACACCACACAUACCACCCACACAUAUACAUACUACACACACACCACACACACACAUACACACACAUCACCCACAAAUAUAUAUAUCACACACACACAACACACAUAUACAUACCACACACCACACACACACAAUACAUACCACCCACACAUAUACAUACUACACACACACCACACACACACAUACACACACAUCACCCACAAAUAUAUAUAUCACACACACACAACACACAUAUACAUACCACACACCACACACACACAAUACAUACCACCCACACAUAUACAUACUACACACACACCACCCCCACACACACACCACCCACACAUGCACAUACCACAUGCACACCACACACACUACACACACAUAGCACACACCACAUACACAUACUACACACCACACAUACAUACAUAUCACAUACACACACCACACACACACACCACACAACACACAAACACACACACUUAUAUAUACCACAUACUCAUACCACACACACCACACACACAUCACCCACACAUAGCAUAC